AACUGCGCCAUUACACUUCCUGCUGUAACGGUUUGAUACAGGAGGAAUAUAUGUGUAUAUGUAGACAGGGGACAUUUUAAACACGGUGUUUAAACCCUAAUGAGUUAAAUACCGAAUAUGUGGCGCUCUGAAAUGUGGAAACACUUCAGUUAAAGUAUCAGAUGUGUUUAUAUGAGGAACAGGAAAGGAUUUUAUUAGUCUGAAUCUACAGAAAGAUAAAGAUGGCGACUGCAAGCAAUGAGUUUAAACUCAUUGGUCCCAGAGCAGAGUUUAAAGACUCUGCUGUCACUCUCUCAUGUCGUCUGUCUCCUGAAAUCAGUGCUGUUGACUUGGAGAUCCGGUGGUUUAAGGAGACAGACUGUGUUUGUGUUUAUAAGAACAGUAAGGUGACAGAGGGGAGAGGUUAUAAGGGCAGAGUGAGUCUGUUCACUCAGGAGCUGGAGAGAGGAAACGUCUCCUUACAGCUGAGAAACUGUAUAGAGUCAGAUAGAGGACAUUACCUCUGUCAGGUCACUGAUGGAGACAGAACAGAAGAGAUUACAGUAGAGAUGAGUAAGUGUUCCUGAUCUCCACACUGUAUAAACUCCACAUCAUCAUCUGUGCUUCUCAUCUCAGUACAUAAACACACUCAGUAUUCAGUGUGAGAUUCAGUAUACAGGCUGCUAAUGUGGAGUGAAGAUCAUUUGAGUUGAAUUAACAGUAACUCUAUUUUUCACUCUUCUACACACCUGCACAAGGGCUUAAAAGCAGCAGCUUGUACAAAUAUGAAGUAACUAGGGAUUUAUUUAUCUAACUUUAUUUAUCUAUUAAUGAGAUUAAUAAGAUUGACUAAAUAUCAGUUUAAACUGAAACAAUCAAAUACUUUUUUUUUACAUCAGAGAGGAAAUUAAAUAACACACUAAAUGUGACAUUUAAAUUAUUACAGUUUCUGUAUAUCCAGUAGAUCAGACUACAUCACUGCCAAAUACAGCACUAAGAACCAAACUACACACAUUUAGGUUAAAGGUAGAGGAAAAAACACAGUCUGGCUGAUGAUUAAGACUUUUGGUGUAAGUAUAUCAUUCUAGUGGCUAAUGUGAGAUGUAUAACAGAUUGAUCCCUGAGGCACUCCAGAUUGAACAACAUUAACCUCAUAUCUAAAUCCACCCAUGGCAAAAAACUGCUUCCGAUCAUUGAGGUAAGACUUAAACCAAUUUAAAACAGUAUCAGAGACACCAAAAACAGUUUCAAGAUGCACUGAGAUCAAGAAGGAUCAAAACUGAAAGACUGCAUCUGAAGCAGUUAACAAGUCAUUGGUAACCCUGACCAUGGCAGUUUCUGUACUAUGGGAUUUUACGAAAGCCAGAUUGCAAAGGCUCAAAGAGAUUGUUCUCAGUUAAAUGAGAAAUUAACUGAGUAGCAACAACUCGCUCCAAAAGUUUAGCAAGAAAGGAGAGAUUAGAUAUGGGACCGAAAUUAGCAAGGUUCUCAAGGUUCUAAGAAGUGGCUGCUUUUAUUUUAAAGACCUCUGCAAAAAGACAAUACGUGUCAAGUGUAGAAAAUAUUGAAAACAUAGAACCAGAAUAACAAGGAAUAAAAACAGCAGAAGAAGACAAUAAAGUAGAAGUACAAAAACCUCUACGAACAUUUUCAACCUUUGUGCUAAAGAAAUGCAGGAAGUUAUUACAGAGAUGAUCAGAAGCAGUAACAUUAGUGAGAGUUUAAUGAUUUAGCAAUUUGUUAAAAGAAUUGAAAAGUUGUCUUGAAUUUCCUUGAUUGUCAUUAAUCAUAUUAGAUAAAUAAUCAGAUCUGGCAGAAACAAUACCAGCCUUAUAUUCUUGUAAGCAAUCUUUCCAUAUUUGAUCUUUCCAUAUUUGAUCACUCCAUUUUACGACAAGAUGUCUUCAUCAUACACAAAUCUUCAUUAUACCAAGGAGCAGGACGUACAAAUAAAACAGAGCGUGACUUUUGAGGAGCAAAUAAUUCCAGGCCAAAUAAGAGAACAGAAUUUAACAUGGAAACCCUUGUCUCUAAAGGAUCAGAUGGAGAGAAACUACUUAAUGAAGAGUCAAUAAAUGCAGUAAAGUCAGAAGUGUCAAUUAACCUCCAUUUCCAGUACAGUUUCCAUGUUAGUGAAUAGAACAUGAUCCAAACUUUUAUUUAAUUUACAGCUCCACAGUCAUUUUAUGAGCUCAGUUCAUCUUAAUAUCUCCUCCAUAUUUUCCCUACAAUAAAUGUGUUUUAUAAGAUUUAUAUGGUGAUAAUUAACAGGACAGUGUUGAUGAGGUUGACUAAGGCAGCUAACACUAACUCAGAUUCAUACUAAUUUAUUGUGUGUAUGAUUUUAGAUAACACUAGCAGUAGCUUGUUAAGGUUAACCAGUCACUAGUUUUUAAAUGAACUGCACUGACAGAAUGAGUGGAGAAUAAGAGCGAACUUCUUCAUUCAGAUGAGUAACGUACUGCAGCUCAAAUCAGUAAUUCAUGAGUCAAAGCUCUAAAACUUUUUUCCUAACAAUGAUAAGAUUAAUAUUCCUGUGAAAAUUAUAACAGUACAGUUUAACAUGUUACAUUUUUAAUACUAACACUGUAUUAACUUUGAGGUAACUGAUGCAGUGUUUUGAGACAUACUUCAGGUCAAAUCUCACAGCGUAUGUUCAGUGUCCAUCAGCAGUAUUUGCUUGUGAUUAAAAUAUGGUGAUGUUCAGCAUUUUCACUUCAUAUGGAGUGUUUUAUUCAGCAGCUGAUCACAGAUCUGUGUUACUGCACUGAGUAAAAACACCUCAUGAAGUCU
Tachysurus vachellii is the source of this 2772-nucleotide long non-coding RNA. RefSeq lists it as uncharacterized. The record is from RefSeq and is a predicted model, not a curated record. The transcript is spliced from 3 exons. Lineage: Eukaryota; Metazoa; Chordata; Actinopteri; Siluriformes; Bagridae.